UUUGAGGUCUAUCCCGAUGGACCCCUCUCUGUAGGGUCUUAUCGUUGGAAACGCCUCAAAAAUAAAAUUUGUGGUAUCGCUUUACCCUCAUGGUUGUUGCAAUCAACCUUGUGGGCCAAAAAACUACAAUACAAAG
Sardina pilchardus (European sardine) is the source of this 136-nucleotide small nucleolar RNA. NCBI's taxonomy places the organism in Eukaryota, Metazoa, Chordata, Actinopteri, Clupeiformes, Clupeidae. The record is from RefSeq and is a predicted model, not a curated record.